Molecule: long non-coding RNA, 1640 nt
Organism: Oenanthe melanoleuca
Lineage: Eukaryota; Metazoa; Chordata; Aves; Passeriformes; Muscicapidae
Exons: 3
Source: RefSeq, a predicted model, not a curated record
CAAAGGGAAAUGCUGCAAGGUUAUGGAGCAGGGCUGUUUGCUCUGUGGUGGAUGGUCAUUACAGCUCCUAUUUAAGGUUUUCCCUGCUUGUGAAGUAUUCUGUAAUCUUUAUUGUGGAAAAUGGUCAGCAUCAUGAAUGCUUUUCAGUGAAUAAAUACCCACCUUGCUGACAAGGACUACAGCAAAUAGGCAUCAGAUUAUUGGCGAUGAAUUUUAUGACUUUGACUUUAACAACUGUGCUUCAUGGCUGCUUUGAUCAGACAAUUGAUAUUCUGGAGAGGUUGCCUCCACGUGGAAAGAAGCUUAAGCAAAGGACUCUGCACAGGACUGGUGAAGGAGAAAGAGUGAAAAUUCCCUGAGCAUGGCAGAGGGGAAGGCUCACAAAGACACUCCAUGUCGGACACUGGAGGGUUGUCUUCUUUUCACCUCUUUUCAACUAAGCAAGUAGAACAGCCAGGAAUGUUGAAUACACUGGCAUUCUUCUACCUGGACAAAGCAUUUGGAAUAAAGCAUCAAAGUGCAGAACUGCCUCUUAAGGCACCAAGAGACAACAGCAAGAUCCUGCAAAGCUAAUUCCUAGCAUAAGGAGUAUAAUGCUGGAGAAGCAAUGGUUCCAGAUGCAAAUCUUACUUCAUGAGAAGAAAACAUCUGGAGCCUUACCAAUAAUGGAAGGCAUUUGCUACAGGACCUGAGAAGACAUCCCUGUGACAAAUCACCCAGAAGACAGUAACAAGAGAGAGCUUGCUGGAGAUGAAGGCAAAAUUAAGUGGCCAACCCACCAUCCCAUGAAGAAAAAAGCUGUUUUAUCUUAUGAACCUUAGACAAUGUUUUCACAGCAACUGAGAAAGUUCUGUGAAACCCAGCACAGAUUUCUCCCUUGGUGCAGGAGUCAAAAGGCAGAGCAGAGCUGGCUGGGCUGCAAGGAACAGUGCUCUCCUCACACUACCAGUAUAUAUCGAUGUGGCUACAGUAAAAGACAGCUCAUCUGUUCAGAACCUGACAUAAUCUUCAACAAAAGUUAACUAUUGCAGAGCAUUGUUGAGUUGUGGGUAGUAAACAUGGCAUCAACUAGACUAACAGAAAUGCACUGGUACACAGAACAGUCCCCAAGGUGCUGAGAUGCCACUGGCACCCCAACACUGUGUCAGGAGCUGCCCUCAAUGAACAGGAGCAAAUAGUUUCCAGCACUUCUGGCUGGAAUUGUUCUUUUUCACAAGAAUAUCAGUAAUCUUUACAUUUCUAAUCAUUAUUCUUGCAGAGUUAGACUUGACUCAUGCAAAUCUGGAAAGAUCAAAGUACAGUUGCAUUUUUUUAAAAUAGCAGAAGUCAAACUCAAAAUUCAAACCCAGCCUGCUUUUUAUUUUCUAAACAUAUAUUUAUUAAUUUUAAGCAAAUACAUGAGCUUGCAAGGAGACUUUUUUGACAUGGUUUUUGAAAAUGCUGAUGUGAGUAAAUUGAUCUUGAGAGGUUAUUAAACAGGAGCAGAGAGUGACUGUUGCUGGGGCAUACUUUCACAAUGACUGAUACUAUAUCUGUCCAGCUGUGGAAAAUGAAGGGAUGUAUGUACAUAUAUGUACACAUAUAUAUAAAUAAAUAUUUAUAGAUGUAAAAAUAAAUCUAAUGGUUACAUGGAUUGCAAU